ACCAAACUCAAGUGAUCCGCCC
This 22-nucleotide non-coding RNA is filed under the name Arabidopsis thaliana (thale cress). Lineage: Eukaryota; Viridiplantae; Streptophyta; Magnoliopsida; Brassicales; Brassicaceae. The record is from RNAcentral.